AUGAGCUCCUCGUCUCCACGGACGGCCAUGGCGCGGCCUUCCAAGAAGAAGAAGAAGCGCCUGAAGGGGAGCCCGGUGUCCAAGCUCACCGACGACAUCCUCGCCGAUAUCAUCUCGCGCGUGCCGUACAAGUCGACAUGUUGCAAGUGCGUCUCCAAGCGUUGGCGCGACCUCAUCUCCUACCAGUACCGGAACAAGAUGCCGCAGUCCAUCGUCGGCUUCUUCUACGAAGAGGCCUAUCGUCGCAACAAUAGACAAAGAAAAGGGGAAGGCGAAUGGGAAGGAGAAGGAGAAAGAGAGGACCUUGGAAUCCAUUAUGAAGAAAUGGUGAGCGUCGCUCGCCUAGGAUUCGACCCAGCCGUUUCUUCCGAUUUCCGUGUAUUUGAGUUCAUUGAUGAGGAGUCAUGGGGUAUAGCUGAGGAUGAGCUUGAUGGGGAUUGCUGUGGACGCAUCGAAACACUAGCAAUAUACUCAUCCGAAGCUGGAGCUUGGAAAUACGAAACAGUUGAUAUUGGUCCAUUUGCGAUACCCAAGAAUUCACUUCACAAUUCUCCCAUCUUUCUGAUGAUAUUGGAGUUUGGUAUUGAAUUCGGGCAGCAGUGA
RNAcentral lists this ribosomal RNA (603 nucleotides) under Triticum aestivum (bread wheat). RNAcentral describes it as "partial small subunit ribosomal RNA". Lineage: Eukaryota; Viridiplantae; Streptophyta; Magnoliopsida; Poales; Poaceae. The record is from RNAcentral.